RNAcentral lists this transfer RNA (69 nucleotides) under Carychium tridentatum. Its description in RNAcentral is "tRNA-Met". The record is from RNAcentral. Lineage: Eukaryota; Metazoa; Mollusca; Gastropoda; Ellobiida; Ellobiidae.
UCUAAGGUAAGCUAACAUUUAAAAGCUGUUGGGCUCAUAACCCAAAAAUGAUAAAAAAAUCCCAUAGAA